CCUACGGGAGGCAGCAGUGGGGAAUAUUGCACAAUGGGCGAAAGCCUGAUGCAGCAACGCCGCGUGAAGGAAGAAGGUCUUCGGAUCGUAAACUUCUGUCCUUGGGGAAGAUAAUGCCUGUACCCUUGGAGGAAGCCCCGGCUAACUACGUGCCAGCAGCCGCGGUAAUACGGAGGGUGCAAGCGUUACUCGGAAUCACUGGGCGUAAAGAGCGCGUAGGCGGGAUAGCAAGUCAGAGGUGAAAUCCUAUGGCUUAACCAUAGAACUGCCUUUGAAACUGGUAUUCUGGGGUAUGGGAGAGGGAAGUGGAAGUCUUGGUGUAGGGGUAAAAUCCGUAGAGAUCAAGAGGAAAAAUCAUGGCGAAGGCGACCUGGUAGAACAUAACUGGCGCUGAUGGGCGAAAGCGUGGGGAGCAAACAGGAUUAGAUACCCCUGUAGUC
Molecule: ribosomal RNA, 440 nt
Filed under: uncultured bacterium
Lineage: Bacteria
Description: partial 16S ribosomal RNA
Rfam family: Bacterial small subunit ribosomal RNA
Source: RNAcentral